RNAcentral lists this long non-coding RNA (403 nucleotides) under Vigna radiata. RNAcentral describes it as "long non-coding RNA (VRAD_LNC008986)". Lineage: Eukaryota; Viridiplantae; Streptophyta; Magnoliopsida; Fabales; Fabaceae. The record is from RNAcentral.
UACACUACAUUAUAGUCAAGUUUCUACAAUUUACUAACACUUAUAAUAAAAGAAACUCACUUGGUUCUAAUGUAAAACACUAGUAGUCCACCUAACAUUUGAGCAAGUAUACGAACUUCAAUUUUACCUAAGUUCAAAAUCUUCAUGUUUCAUAGUUGUGAGGUUUAGUAGAUUCUUAGGCAUUGGAUUCUUGGUGGGAGAUGAUUUGCCAACACCGAAAACAACCUUCAGAGCUUACCCAAAAUUUGAGCAAAUAUCAGUAUAUGAACUUCACAUUUUCAUCACAUCACAGUUCAGCUCUGACGACCAGUUAAUUCAUAGGCAUAGGAUUCUUCACUGGAAGGUGAUUCAUACGCAUAUGAUUCAUCACUAGGAGGUGAUUCAUAUAAUCCGGAGCCUUCAG